AUUGCAGAAUUCCGCGAAUCAUCGAAUCUUUGAACGCAUAUUGCGCCUGAGCCUUCUGGCUUGGGCAUGCCUGCCUCAGCGUCG
RNAcentral lists this ribosomal RNA (84 nucleotides) under Wittrockiella amphibia. Its description in RNAcentral is "partial 5.8S ribosomal RNA". It matches the Rfam family "5.8S ribosomal RNA", at positions 71 to 154 of the family's 154-position model. From Rfam's summary of the family: 5.8S ribosomal RNA (5.8S rRNA) is a component of the large subunit of the eukaryotic ribosome. It is transcribed by RNA polymerase I as part of the 45S precursor that also contains 18S and 28S rRNA. The record is from RNAcentral. Lineage: Eukaryota; Viridiplantae; Chlorophyta; Ulvophyceae; Cladophorales; Pithophoraceae.